Molecule: ribosomal RNA, 481 nt
Filed under: uncultured Glomus
Lineage: Eukaryota; Fungi; Glomeromycota; Glomeromycetes; Glomerales; Glomeraceae
Description: SSU rRNA
Rfam family: Eukaryotic small subunit ribosomal RNA
Source: RNAcentral
AGCAGCCGCGGUAAUUCCAGCUCCAAUAGCGUAUAUUAAAGUUGUUGCAGUUAAAAGCUCGUAGUUGAAUUUCGGGAUCAAUACGUCGGUCGUGCUUCGGUACGUACUGGCGUCAUUGAUUUCUCCCUUCUGACGAACCAUGAUGUCAUUAACUUGGUGUCAUGGGAAAUCAGGACUGUUACUUUGAAAAAUUAGAGUGUUUAAAGCAGGCUCACGCUUGAAUACAUUAGCAUGGAAUAAUGAAAUAGGACGUUCGAUCCUAUUUUUGUGGUUUUUUAGGAUCAACGUAAUGAUUAAUAGGGAUAGUUGGGGCAUUAGUAUUCAAUUGUUCAGAGGUGAAAUUCUUGGGAUUUUUAUUGAAGACUAACUACUGCGAAAGCAUUUUGCCAAGGGAUGUUUUCAUUAAUCAGAACGAAAGUUUAGGGGAUCGAAGACGAUCAGAUACCGUCGUAGUCUUAACCCAUAAAACCUAUGCCGACUA